GUUUGCACGAGGAAGGAAGGGAGGAGGGUACAUACAAAGACAAAAUAUUGUUUUGCGACAGAGGAACAAAAAGAAUUCCUCUUCAAUGUAUGUUAAAAUAAUAAAAUACGCGAAGAUAUUAAAAGGGGAAGCAAAUAUAAAGAGUAAGCCGAUUGUUAUUCUAGUAAUCUAAAUACAUGGGUAUACCAUAAAUUUAAAGGCCCAUUUUGAAACUAAGACAAAAUUUGUUUCAUCUCCAAAAGCACACUAGCAAGAUAGCAACAGGGCUCAAUAAAUAUGCUAGGAGAAGAAAAAUUAAUGGUCAUUACUAUUAAAGGAGUUAAUAAGCAGAUAGAAAUCAGUAUUUU
This 347-nucleotide unclassified non-coding RNA is filed under the name Hevea brasiliensis (rubber tree). The record is from RNAcentral. Lineage: Eukaryota; Viridiplantae; Streptophyta; Magnoliopsida; Malpighiales; Euphorbiaceae.